UACGUAGGGGGCGAGCGUUAUCCGGAAUUACUGGGCGUAAAGCGCACGCAGGCGGUUCGCCAAGUUUGGAGUGACAGUUGUCGGCUCAACCGACAAAGGACUUCAAAAACUGGUGAACUUGAGGACGAGAGAGGAACAUGGAACUCCAGGUGUAGUAGUGAAAUGCGUAGAUAUCUGGAAGAACACCAAUGGCGAAGGCAAUGUUCUGGCCCGUUUCUGACGCUCAGGUGCGAAAGCCAGGGGAGCGAACGGG
Molecule: ribosomal RNA, 253 nt
Filed under: uncultured bacterium
Lineage: Bacteria
Description: partial 16S ribosomal RNA
Rfam family: Bacterial small subunit ribosomal RNA
Source: RNAcentral